ACGCUCGACACCUACAGGCAGCAGUAGGGAAUCUUCCACAAUGGGCGCAAGCCUGAUGGAGCAACACCGCGUGAGUGAAGAAGGGUUUCGGCUCGUAAAGCUCUGUUGUUGGAGAAGAACGUGCGUGAGAGUAACUGUUCACGCAGUGACGGUAUCCAACCAGAAAGUCACGGCUAACUACGUGCCAGCAGCCGNGGUAGUAUNGCGGCGNGNGAGAG
Molecule: ribosomal RNA, 218 nt
Filed under: uncultured bacterium
Lineage: Bacteria
Description: partial 16S ribosomal RNA
Rfam family: Bacterial small subunit ribosomal RNA
Source: RNAcentral